AGCGCUGGAAACGGCGUCUAAUACUGGAUACGAGUGGCGACCGCAUGGUCAGCUACUGGAAAGAUUUAUUGGUUGGGGAUGGGCUCGCGGCCUAUCAGCUUGUUGGUGAGGUAAUGGCUCACCAAGGCGUCGACGGGUAGCCGGCCUGAGAGGGUGACCGGCCACACUGGGACUGAGACACGGCCCAGACUCCUACGGGAGGCAGCAGUGGGGAAUAUUGCACAAUGGGCGCAAGCCUGAUGCAGCAACGCCGCGUGAGGGAUGACGGCCUUCGGGUUGUAAACCUCUUUUAGCAGGGAAGAAGCGAAAGUGACGGUACCUGCAGAAAAAGCGCCGGCUAACUACGUGCCAGCAGCCGCGGUAAUACGUAGGGCGCAAGCGUUAUCCGGAAUUAUUGGGCGUAAAGAGCUCGUAGGCGGUUUGUCGCGUCUGCUGUGAAAUCCGGAGGCUCAACCUCCGGCCUGCAGUGGGUACGGGCAGACUAGAGUGCGGUAGGGGAGAUUGGAAUUCCUGGUGUAGCGGUGGAAUGCGCAGAUAUCAGGAGGAACACCGAUGGCGAAGGCAGAUCUCUGGGCCGUAACUGACGCUGAGGAGCGAAAGGGUGGGGAGCAAACAGGCUUAGAUACCCUGGUAGUCCACCCCGUAAACGUUGGGAACUAGUUGUGGGGUCCAUUCCACGGAUUCCGUGACGCAGCUAACGCAUUAAGUUCCCCGCCUGGGGAGUACGGCCGCAAGGCUAAAACUCAAAGGAAUUGACGGGGGACCCGCACAAGCGGCGGAGCAUGCGGAUUAAUUCGAUGCAACGCGAAGAACCUUACCAAGGCUUGACAUAUACGAGAACGGGCCAGAAAUGGUCAACUCUUUUGGACACUCGUAAACAGGUGGUGCAUGGUUGUCGUCAGCUCGUGUCGUGAGAUGUUUGGGUUAAGUCCCGCAACAAGCGCAACCCUUCGUU
This 955-nucleotide ribosomal RNA is filed under the name Microbacterium sp. Its description in RNAcentral is "bacterial SSU rRNA". It matches the Rfam family "Bacterial small subunit ribosomal RNA", at positions 146 to 1110 of the family's 1533-position model. Lineage: Bacteria; Bacillati; Actinomycetota; Actinomycetes; Micrococcales; Microbacteriaceae. The record is from RNAcentral.